Molecule: ribosomal RNA, 812 nt
Filed under: uncultured bacterium
Lineage: Bacteria
Description: bacterial SSU rRNA
Rfam family: Bacterial small subunit ribosomal RNA
Source: RNAcentral
AGAGUUUGAUCCUGGCUCAGGAUGAACGCUAGCUACAGGCUUAACACAUGCAAGUCGAGGGGCAGCAUGGUCUUAGCUUGCUAAGGCUGAUGGCGACCGGCGCACGGGUGAGUAACACGUAUCCAACCUGCCGUCUACUCUUGGCCAGCCUUCUGAAAGGAAGAUUAAUCCAGGAUGGGAUCAUGAGUUCACAUGUCCGCAUGAUUAAAGGUAUUUUCCGGUAGACGAUGGGGAUGCGUUCCAUUAGAUAGUAGGCGGGGUAACGGCCCGCCUAGUCAACGAUGGAUAGGGGUUCUGAGAGGAAGGUCCCCCACAUUGGAACUGAGACACGGUCCAAACUCCUACGGGAGGCAGCAGUGAGGAAUAUUGGUCAAUGGGCGAUGGCCUGAACCAGCCAAGUAGCGUGAAGGAUGACUGCCCUAUGGGUUGUAAACUUCUUUUAUAAAGGAAUAAAGUCGGGUAUGCAUACCCGUUUGCAUGUACUUUAUGAAUAAGGAUCGGCUAACUCCGUGCCAGCAGCCGCGGUAAUACGGAGGAUCCGAGCGUUAUCCGGAUUUAUUGGGUUUAAAGGGAGCGUAGAUGGAUGUUUAAGUCAGUUGUGAAAGUUUGCGGCUCAACCGUAAAAUUGCAGUUGAUACUGGAUGUCUUGAGUGCAGUUGAGGCAGGCGGAAUUCGUGGUGUAGCGGUGAAAUGCUUAGAUAUCACGAAGAACUCCGAUUGCGAAGGCAGCCUGCUAAGCUGCAACUGACAUUGAGGCUCGAAAGUGUGGGUAUCAAACAGGAUUAGAUACCCUGGUAGUCCACACGGUAAAC